AUUGCUUUGGCAGAUAAGUGCAUUAAAUUUAGAAUUUACGUAUGUAUGUAUAAUACAGGCAAUA
This 64-nucleotide transfer RNA is filed under the name Hemisodorcus sinensis. RNAcentral's name for it is "tRNA-Leu". The record is from RNAcentral. Lineage: Eukaryota; Metazoa; Arthropoda; Insecta; Coleoptera; Lucanidae.